This 638-nucleotide long non-coding RNA is filed under the name Rosa chinensis. RNAcentral describes it as "sRNA RchiOBHm_Chr1g0355561". Lineage: Eukaryota; Viridiplantae; Streptophyta; Magnoliopsida; Rosales; Rosaceae. The record is from RNAcentral.
GCCUCAACCCCAAGUACGCUCGACCUCAAGCUAAACUGGCCUGCAAACUGGGCAUUUAAAACCGAAGGGCCCAGGGGAAAACAUUUAAAAUCCGUUAGAGUGAGUGGACGAAAAAUAAGUAAUUUCAAAUGAAUAAGUAAAACUUAAUGCUUUCCCAAGUUAUUCUCUAAAACCUCGCAUGCAGUAACAAUCUUGAAAACACUCUUAAUCAUCCUCUUUACUGAAAUCUCAAUCACGUAACAAGAACAUCUUGAAAUCUCUUAAAAUCUCAUCCUCAAUCCUUAUAAAAACAUCCUUUUCAUGAGGCUCGUUUGAUGACUAGAAAGGACUGCUGUCUAGUCAUCUCAUGCCAUCUAGGAGGGACUGCCACCCAGAUGACGCAUCGGAAGGGACUGCCAACCGGGAUAGGAGGCGGUGGAUAGAUGGGACUGCCAACUAGCCACAUGUAGUAGACGGGACUGCCGACUAACCACAGGUAGUAGACGGGACUGCCGACUAGCUACCUCAUGUCAUCUGGAAGGGACUGCCAACCAGGUGACGCAUCGGAUGGGACUGCCAACCGAGCUGUAGUCUGGAAGGGACUGCCAACCAGACUAUUACCUAGAAGGGACUGCCAACUAGGUAAGAUACGCAUGCGC